UUGGCAGAACCGUAAGAGUGCCGGAAAAAAAUAUCUUACAGUAAUUAUUCCCUCCCUUUACGUUCCGAGUUCAAUUCCAACCGGAGUCAACUUUACCCUUCGUUAUUCUGAGAUAAAAUAAAGAACCACUCAAAUACUGGGGCUGAUUUAAUCAACGUACAUUUCCAACCCACAAAUUUGUGACAUAGUAGCAGUAGUAGUGGUAGGGAGAACAGUUUUCGUGUACGUAUUAGUUUGGCAAUUGCGCGUCAUGUGAAAUUCUCUUGACAAACUCACUGCUGAAGUUUGCAAGAAUUUGGUUAACAGCAAUAAUGUCAAGGUCCUUGAUAUUAUAUAAGCGGCCCACAUUAAGAAAUGGGGGUAAAACAGCAAAUAAGACACACAGCACACACGUAAUAUAUGCGUAUAUGAUGAAAUAUAAUAUACACAAGAGUUUUCGUGCGUGCUCAACCACGCACGCAUACAUUUGUGUUUAGAAACGUGUGCGAAUGUACAUGUAAAUAUAAUGUUAUAUUUGUGUGUGUAUGUAUAACACACACACACACACAAGUGUAUAUAAAAUGCAUAGGGAUUCCCGUCGAUUUCUAUGAUGAUUAAUUGUUCGAUCAACGUAACAACUUACUCAUUGCAUGAGCGUGUCUGUGUCCGAAUAUUCUACAGUGACGAACUAUUGACUUAAUUUCCAGGGAGAAUCAGCAUGACACAGUGUGACAAGACUAGGACUUUGAAUUUACCAGUACAAUCCAACCUACAAGCUUACAAACCCGUUUUCGUUUGCCGUGUUUUCAGUUAUAAGAACACUGGCGGUAAUCUUUCGGUAUUAAUAGACGACGUCAUUCACCCUUACCUAUAUCACGAGGGAACGUUGCGUGGAUGAAUGACGUCUACUAAUACCGAAAGAUUGUCACACUGACUCCACAUUCUUUGCAGCGAGAUCAAUACCUGGGUCCUCAUUAUUGCGAAAACUUCUUUAUCACUUGGUGUUACCUGCAUCCGUGUGUGUGUAAAUGUUUUAAAAUACCUUGUCAUUUUGGAGUAUCUAGUUGACUACCAACAAGCAAGUGGAAGACGGAAGGCAAAGACUCAUGCGGAAGAAACUUGUUAAUGUGUAAGUGAAACGACGAAGUGCUCCCUGGAACUGACAAAUAAACCACCUAUUUAUUUUUUCCCAGGCAUUGCCAAUAUAUACCUAUCUCAAAGCUUAACUGUGUCACCGUGAUUGAAAAUAAAUCAGGUUUAUCUAAGUUAACCUUUGCUUCGUGUAAGAUAAUGGCGAAUUUCUAGCAGGUUGAACGAAAGGAUUUUACGUGCACAUUUAGAGAACAAAGGAAACACACGUAAAGAUUCAAGUUUCGAUCCUUGGUUACGGAAACUUACAUUUCAUAUCUAUUAACUGGUACAGGCAAGGUAUAAAUUAAGGAUUCGAAUUUUUAAAACAAUGUUUUGUCAAGCCUUGGUGAGCGCAACAAAAAGGAGAAGACAUAUAUGAAGUUGUACAUAGUUUCUGUGUAAAAAAAAAAAAAAAAAAAAAAAAAAAAAAAGGUCUUUCUUGGUAAAUGAUAGUCGGUUGCUGCAUAACCAAAGCAGUUCCUACAAUGCUGGGUUUUCUUAACAGUGUCAAAUGUAAAGCGUGAUGUAAAGAACAUAAACUGUAUGAUUAAUAGAUAUUGCAUUGUGUAUGAAGAUAGUGCCUCCUUCUCUCAGAUCGUAUAACGUACGAAUGAUGAACUUCGUCAAAUCUAGUCUUCUGAACACAAAGAUACUGCUUCUGUUGUGUAAAGAAUAAAAUGCGGGGGAAGAUGUGUUUCACGCAGAACUGAGAUGGCUUUCAAGAGUCGUAGUCGUUGCAAUGAUGAAAGAUUAAUCUAAAGAAUUCUUUUCGUUCGAGAAAACAGAAUAAAGUAUUCAAGAUCACUUCUGAUAAACGGAUUGCAAAGCUAACCUUCCUAAACGAUUUAUUUUUCUUAUUAGUCAAUGCAGCUAACAAGAUACUUUAAGGCAUCUAGCUACCGUUAUACAGACUUAGUCAACAAAUUAAGAUAAUUUUGGAUGAAAUUUGAGCUGUAGAACGAUAGGCUGGAAAUGGGUCAUGACAAUGUUUUAGAGAAUACGAGUCAAAGUUCUACACUACUACAAGUGGACUUUCUUUAUUCGGCACUUAGGCCUUAACAUAGAGGGGAACACUACAAAGACAGACAACGUAAUACAAUACGUGGGGUACAAAGAAUGAAUGAUGAAUGUGUAGUAAUGCCGUGCGCAUGCGUGGAAUUAAACAGCCAAGCGUUCCCGCUUAAUUCUAUCUUUUUUACGGUCGGCCGACCAUGAGCAUGGACGUGUUAAGCUGUCUCUUCACCAUCUUUCGGACUUACACUCGACAGCUCGCUUGCAACUACAUACCCACGUCCCAACAACUAUGCUCACACACAACAGAAGCUGUAACAACAAGAGCUAAAGAUGUAUAUAUUUACCACCUGAAUAAAGUGUUGUUUAAGUUGAUA
Octopus bimaculoides (California two-spot octopus) is the source of this 2498-nucleotide long non-coding RNA. RefSeq lists it as uncharacterized. Lineage: Eukaryota; Metazoa; Mollusca; Cephalopoda; Octopoda; Octopodidae. The record is from RefSeq and is a predicted model, not a curated record.